CUGGAGGUCAGACUGGAGGUCAGACUAGAGAUCAGACUAGAGGUCAGACUAGAGGUCAGACUGGAGGUCAGACUAGAGGUCAGACUAGAGGUCAGACUGGAGGUCAGACUAGAGGUCAGACUGGAGGUCAGACUGGAGGUCAGACUGGAGGUCAG
Long non-coding RNA from Austrofundulus limnaeus, 155 nucleotides. RefSeq lists it as uncharacterized. The transcript has 3 exons. The record is from RefSeq and is a predicted model, not a curated record. Lineage: Eukaryota; Metazoa; Chordata; Actinopteri; Cyprinodontiformes; Rivulidae.